RNAcentral lists this transfer RNA (70 nucleotides) under Camelus bactrianus (Bactrian camel). It matches the Rfam family "tRNA". From Rfam's summary of the family: Transfer RNA (tRNA) molecules are approximately 80 nucleotides in length. Their secondary structure includes four short double-helical elements and three loops (D, anti-codon, and T loops). The record is from Rfam by way of RNAcentral. Lineage: Eukaryota; Metazoa; Chordata; Mammalia; Artiodactyla; Camelidae. RNAcentral also lists the same sequence under 1 other name.
GGAUAUAGCUUGGUGGUAGAGUGCAUGCUUAGCACACAUGAGGUCCUGGGUUCAAUCCCCAGUACCUCCA